CGCCCGCGGGCCGCCGGGCCCCGGUCUCCGCCCGGGCUCGGUCAGUCGGUACCUUCAUGAAGGUCUCUACCGCGCCUUUGGCCGUGUCCAGGACCCUGAUUGAUAUAUAUGCUGAACCCUAACAUGAACAAGAGCCAGUUGUUAAACAUUUAUAAGCAUACUGUUGGAUACAGCGAACCUGAGGCAAUCUCUUAAUGUGGGAGCUGAGAAAACUCACACCCAGACCUUGUUUUCAAGAUGGAAAAAAACCCAACUCAAUAGGGAGCCAGAGAACACUGGAGCCUCUUGAUCGGUCUGUUCAAACCACCCUCUGGGGGAGACAGCAGAUGGAGGAGAGUGGAGAGGGGAGAGUGGAUACCUUCCUAUCCAUUCUUAUCACCCCUGAUUUCCCACAGCAAUGGAGACCUUAAGUGACCCUGCUCAAGAUGAACUGUCCUAGAAUAAAAUUUGAUUGGCCAACUUCAGUCAGUGAUUACUCUUGGCAAGAAGACAGGGUUCCUUGACUGACAGUCCCACGGAGACUCUCCUAAUAAGGAGCCCGUUAUCUCCAACAAGGAAUUCAGAGUGCUCUUAAGAACAGGAGGGCGAAUGGGUGCUGGGAAGCCAAGUAACAGCAAAUGUCCACUUCCAUCUGGGACAUGACCUUGCUACAGGGCCCCUCCUGAGUUGGGGGUGGGGGGCAGGGACCAUUAACGUGGAAGUAAUUGAGAAUUAAUUGUUCUUUAAAAAUCUCCAGGCAUAACGUCGAUAGUUCAGAAUGUAACACUAUUUGACAUUAACAGAGCUCACACUGAAAAAUCACAGGCCAAGAGCCCUAUGAAGGCUUGUCUGUGUUCAUCACUGUUUUGCAGCAUCUAGAACAGUGCAGUAUUCAAGAAAACGUUUGCAUGAGUGUAUCAAUGUGCCUAGUGCUGUGAGAGAAGGAAAUGGAUUUUAUUUUUAAGUCAUCUCUACACCGAAGGUGGGGCUUGAACUCACCACCCUGAGAUCCCCUGUCGAGUGCUGUACCGAUGACUAAGCCAGCCAGGCGUCCCUGCAUCAACUUUUCAACUGAAGAUUAUGUCAUGCAGAAUCAACUCACACCAUAAGGAUAUGUCCACAUGGAUCAUAAAUAAAAGCAGGGUGUUUACAGAAUGGACCCACUUGUGCUCUCUGUGAGCCUCCAACUAUCGUCAUCUCUGUAACUAUAGUUAUCUCCACCCCCCGAUGUGACUGUAUUGGAGAUAAGGCCUUUGAGGAGGUGAUUAAGGUGAAAUGAGCUCAUGAGGGUGGAUCCCUGAUCCCAUAGAACUGGCUUCUAAGAAGAGGAAGAGACACCAGAGGUCUCUCUCUCUCUCUCUC
Molecule: long non-coding RNA, 1341 nt
Organism: Leptonychotes weddellii (Weddell seal)
Lineage: Eukaryota; Metazoa; Chordata; Mammalia; Carnivora; Phocidae
Source: RefSeq, a predicted model, not a curated record